This 404-nucleotide ribosomal RNA is filed under the name Actinomycetes bacterium. RNAcentral's name for it is "Actinobacteria bacterium partial 16S ribosomal RNA". It matches the Rfam family "Bacterial small subunit ribosomal RNA", at positions 355 to 776 of the family's 1533-position model. Lineage: Bacteria; Bacillati; Actinomycetota; Actinomycetes. The record is from RNAcentral.
UGGGGAAUAUUGGACAAUGGGCGCAAGCCUGAUCCAGCCAUGCCGCGUGAGUGAUGAAGGCCCUAGGGUUGUAAAUCUCUUUCACCGGUGAUGAUAAUGACGGUAACCGGAGAAGAAGCCCCGGCUAACUUCGUGCCAGCAGCCGCGGUAAUACGAAGGGGGCUAGCGUUGUUCGGAUUUACUGGGCGUAAAGCGCACGUAGGCGGACUUUUAAGUCAGGGGUGAAAUCCCGGGGCUCAACCCCGGAACUGCCUUUGAUACUGGAAGUCUUGAGUAUGGUAGAGGUGAGUGGAAUUCCGAGUGUAGAGGUGAAAUUCGUAGAUAUUCGGAGGAACACCAGUGGCGAAGGCGGCUCACUGGACCAUUACUGACGCUGAGGUGCGAAAGCGUGGGGAGCAAACAGG